RNAcentral lists this ribosomal RNA (748 nucleotides) under Bacillus subtilis. RNAcentral's name for it is "bacterial SSU rRNA". It matches the Rfam family "Bacterial small subunit ribosomal RNA", at positions 21 to 753 of the family's 1533-position model. Lineage: Bacteria; Bacillati; Bacillota; Bacilli; Caryophanales; Bacillaceae. The record is from RNAcentral.
CGCUCAGGACGAACGCGGCGGCGUGCCUAAUACAUGCAAGUCGAGCGGACAGAUGGGAGCUUGCUCCCUGAUGUUAGCGGCGGACGGGUGAGUAACACGUGGGUAACCUGCCUGUAAGACUGGGAUAACUCCGGGAAACCGGGGCUAAUACCGGAUGGUUGUUUGAACCGCAUGGUUCAAACAUAAAAGGUGGCUUCGGCUACCACUUACAGAUGGACCCGCGGCGCAUUAGCUAGUUGGUGAGGUAACGGCUCACCAAGGCAACGAUGCGUAGCCGACCUGAGAGGGUGAUCGGCCACACUGGGACUGAGACACGGCCCAGACUCCUACGGGAGGCAGCAGUAGGGAAUCUUCCGCAAUGGACGAAAGUCUGACGGAGCAACGCCGCGUGAGUGAUGAAGGUUUUCGGAUCGUAAAGCUCUGUUGUUAGGGAAGAACAAGUACCGUUCGAAUAGGGCGGUACCUUGACGGUACCUAACCAGAAAGCCACGGCUAACUACGUGCCAGCAGCCGCGGUAAUACGUAGGUGGCAAGCGUUGUCCGGAAUUAUUGGGCGUAAAGGGCUCGCAGGCGGUUUCUUAAGUCUGAUGUGAAAGCCCCCGGCUCAACCGGGGAGGGUCAUUGGAAACUGGGGAACUUGAGUGCAGAAGAGGAGAGUGGAAUUCCACGUGUAGCGGUGAAAUGCGUAGAGAUGUGGAGGAACACCAGUGGCGAAGGCGACUCUCUGGUCUGUAACUGACGCUGAGAG